RNAcentral lists this ribosomal RNA (484 nucleotides) under uncultured bacterium. Its description in RNAcentral is "partial 16S ribosomal RNA". It matches the Rfam family "Bacterial small subunit ribosomal RNA", at positions 30 to 507 of the family's 1533-position model. The record is from RNAcentral.
AUUGAACGCUGGCGGCAGGCCUAACACAUGCAAGUCGAGCGGAUGAAGGGAGCUUGCUCCUGGAUUCAGCGGCGGACGGGUGAGUAAUGCCUAGGAAUCUGCCUGGUAGUGGGGGAUAACGUCCGGAAACGGGCGCUAAUACCGCAUACGUCCUGAGGGAGAAAGUGGGGGAUCUUCGGACCUCACGCUAUCAGAUGAGCCUAGGUCGGAUUAGCUAGUUGGUGGGGUAAAGGCCUACCAAGGCGACGAUCCGUAACUGGUCUGAGAGGAUGAUCAGUCACACUGGAACUGAGACACGGUCCAGACUCCUACGGGAGGCAGCAGUGGGGAAUAUUGGACAAUGUGCGAAAGACUGAUACAGACAUGCCGCGUGUGUGAAGAAGGUCUUCGGAUUGUAAAGCACUUUAAGUUGGGAGGAAGGGCAGUAAGUUAAUACCUUGCUGUUUUGACGUUACCAACAGAAUAAGCACCGGCUAACUUCGUG